Molecule: ribosomal RNA, 885 nt
Filed under: uncultured Bacillota bacterium
Lineage: Bacteria; Bacillati; Bacillota
Description: bacterial SSU rRNA
Rfam family: Bacterial small subunit ribosomal RNA
Source: RNAcentral
UGGAUCCAGACUUUGAUCAUGGCUCAGGACGAACGCUGGCGGCGCGCCUAACACAUGCAAGUCGAACGAGAGAUGAGGAGCUUGCUCUUCAAAUCGAGUGGCGAACGGGUGAGUAACGCGUGAGGAACCUGCCUCAAAGAGGGGGACAACAGUUGGAAACGACUGCUAAUACCGCAUAAGCCCACGGCUCGGCAUCGAGCAGAGGGAAAAGGAGUGAUCCGCUUUGAGAUGGCCUCGCGUCCGAUUAGCUAGUUGGUGAGGUAACGGCCCACCAAGGCAACGAUCGGUAGCCGGACUGAGAGGUUGAACGGCCACAUUGGGACUGAGACACGGCCCAGACUCCUACGGGAGGCAGCAGUGGGGAAUAUUGCACAAUGGGGGAAACCCUGAUGCAGCGACGCCGCGUGGAGGAAGAAGGUCUUCGGAUUGUAAACUCCUGUUGUUGAGGAAGAUAAUGACGGUACUCAACAAGGAAGUGACGGCUAACUACGUGCCAGCAGCCGCGGUAAAACGUAGGUCACAAGCGUUGUCCGGAAUUACUGGGUGUAAAGGGAGCGCAGGCGGGAGAACAAGUUGGAAGUGAAAUCCAUGGGCUCAACCCAUGAACUGCUUUCAAAACUGUUUUUCUUGAGUAGUGCAGAGGUAGGCGGAAUUCCCGGUGUAGCGGUGGAAUGCGUAGAUAUCGGGAGGAACACCAGUGGCGAAGGCGGCCUACUGGGCACCAACUGACGCUGAGGCUCGAAAGUGUGGGUAGCAAACAGGAUUAGAUACCCUGGUAGUCCACACCGUAAACGAUGAUUACUAGGUGUUGGAGGAUUGACCCCUUCAGUGCCGCAGUUAACACAAUAAGUAAUCCACCUGGGGAGUACGACCGCAAGGUUGCAA